CGAGAGGCCCAAACGUUAUUCGGAAUUACUGGGCUUAAAGAGUUCGUAGGCGGCAUUGCAAGUAGGGUGUGAAAGCCCUCGGCUCAACCGAGGAAUUGCGCUCUAAACUGCAGUGCUUGAGGAACCUAGAGGUGAGCAGAACAGAUGGUGGAGCGGUGAAAUGCGUUGAUAUCAUCUGGAAUACCGGAGGCGAAGGCGGCUCACUGGGAGUUUUCUGACGCUGAGGAACGAAAGCCAGGGCAGCGAACGGGAUUAGAUACCCCGGUAGUCCUGGCCGUAAACGAUGAGCACUAGGCCGGAGCCCUGCACAGGGUUUCGGCCGUAGCUAAAGUGUUAAGUGCUCCGCCUGGGGAGUAUGGUCGCAAGGCUG
Molecule: ribosomal RNA, 370 nt
Filed under: uncultured organism
Description: bacterial SSU rRNA
Rfam family: Bacterial small subunit ribosomal RNA
Source: RNAcentral